This is a long non-coding RNA of Panthera uncia (snow leopard), 327 nucleotides long. RefSeq lists it as uncharacterized. The transcript is spliced from 2 exons. Lineage: Eukaryota; Metazoa; Chordata; Mammalia; Carnivora; Felidae. The record is from RefSeq and is a predicted model, not a curated record.
GCCAACCGACACGUGAAAAAAUGCUCCACAUCACUCAUCAUCAGGGAAAUACAAAAUCAAAACCACAAUGAGAUACCACCUCACACCGGUCAGGAUGGCUAACAUUAACAACUCAGGCAACAACAGAUGUUGGUGAGGAUGCGGAGAAAGAGAAAACUUUUGCACUACUGGUGAGUAUGCAAACUGGUGCAGCCACUCUGGAAAACAGUAUGGAGGUUCCUCAAAAAAUUAAAAAUAGAACUACCCUACGACCCAGCAAUUGCACUACUAGGUAUUUAUCCAAGGGAUACAGGUAUGCUGUUUCAAAGGGACACAUGCACCCCAAUG